Molecule: ribosomal RNA, 253 nt
Filed under: uncultured bacterium
Lineage: Bacteria
Description: partial 16S ribosomal RNA
Rfam family: Bacterial small subunit ribosomal RNA
Source: RNAcentral
UACGUAGGGUGCGAGCGUUAAUCGGAAUUACUGGGCGUAAAGCGUGCGCAGGCGGUUUUGUAAGACAGAUGUGAAAUCCCCGGGCUUAACCUGGGAACUGCGUUUGUGACUGCAAGACUCGAGUACGGCAGAGGGGGGUGGAAUUCCGCGUGUAGCAGUGAAAUGCGUAGAGAUGCGGAGGAACACCGAUGGCGAAGGCAGCCCCCUGGGCCAACACUGACGCUCAGGCACGAAAGCGUGGGGAGCAAACAGG